GGCUCCUUCCACGUGCGAAAGCUUUCUCAGUUGCAGAAACUCCAGUCCCUUCAAAAUAGCUAGGGUUUCGAUCUGCACGGCUGAAGAGGCUCGUAUAUCGCUGACGAAGCCAUCCACCACUUGUCCGGCGUGAUUCCUCAGUAUUCCGACGACGGAUCCAACCGGUUCUCCUGGUACCCACGAGCCAUCGACGUUUAGUUUCAGGGUUCCUCUGUCCGGCGGUCUCCACCUUCUCGAUCUACGAUUGUGUUCGGAUCGGGCGGUUUUGCUCUGAAGAUGGUUCCGUUGCGGGCUUUCCAUAUAAACCAGAGGACCAUCGCCACUAGUUCCUUCUCGGAGGAGGAACAGGUGCUCGGUGGUUUCCGGGUGUGCGUUGCAGAGCGAGCAGAUUGGAUCAGGU
Molecule: long non-coding RNA, 400 nt
Organism: Eucalyptus grandis
Lineage: Eukaryota; Viridiplantae; Streptophyta; Magnoliopsida; Myrtales; Myrtaceae
Exons: 3
Source: RefSeq, a predicted model, not a curated record